UACUUAGCAAAAAGCAAGGACCU
Molecule: non-coding RNA, 23 nt
Filed under: Rattus norvegicus (Norway rat)
Lineage: Eukaryota; Metazoa; Chordata; Mammalia; Rodentia; Muridae
Source: RNAcentral